UAGGGAAUCUUGGACAAUGGGCGAAAGCCUGAUCCAGCCAUGCCGCGUGAGUGAUGAAGGCCUUAGGGUUGUAAAGCUCUUUCGCCAGGGAAGAUAAUGACGGUACCUGGAUAAGAAGCCCCGGCUAACUUCGUGCCAGCAGCCGCGGUAAUACGAAGGGGGCUAGCGUUGUUCGGAAUUACUGGGCGUAAAGCGCACGUAGGCGGCUUUCCAAGUUGGGGGUGAAAUCCCCGGGCUUAACCCGGGAACUGCCUCCAAAACUGAAAGGCUAGAGUCCGAGAGAGGUGAGUGGAAUUUCCAGUGUAGAGGUGAAAUUCGUAGAUAUUGGAAAGAACACCAGUGGCGAAGGCGGCUCACUGGCUCGGUACUGACGCUGAGGUGCGACAGCGUGGGGAGCAAACA
This 402-nucleotide ribosomal RNA is filed under the name uncultured bacterium. RNAcentral describes it as "bacterial SSU rRNA". It matches the Rfam family "Bacterial small subunit ribosomal RNA", at positions 355 to 774 of the family's 1533-position model. The record is from RNAcentral.